This 448-nucleotide long non-coding RNA is filed under the name Homo sapiens (human). RNAcentral's name for it is "non-protein coding lnc-SENP6-9:1". The record is from RNAcentral. Lineage: Eukaryota; Metazoa; Chordata; Mammalia; Primates; Hominidae.
CACAAAAUGGCAGCUACCAUGGGCUCUGGAGCAAAAGUCCCUUACAAUUUCCAACCAUUGGAAGAACUCAAAGAAGCCCAGAAAGGAGCAGGAGAUGGCACAGUUAACUGCGGUCUAGAAGAUGAUGAAGACAUGACACAAGAUGCACAGGGCUAACAAUUGGGCCUCCAAGAACAAUUUAUGAAAACUGAAUAUACAGCCUUAAAAUAAAAUGUGGACCUAAAUAACCAGAAGCAGCCCUUUUGUAAGAUUUGUAACAUAAAUUAAUCUGAAUGGAGUUACUAGCUCCAAUGAAGUGGUGGACCCAUUUCACUGACCCAUAUCAAUGCUAGCAAAAUGGCAGAAUUCAUAUAGCAUCAAAGUUGUCCUGCAAGAGCUUCAGUGCCUAAUAAUGUCUAAAGAAAAUAUGAAACUCCUUCAGCUGCCUGAAGGACAGUUUCACAGCAAU